AAUCUUGCGCAAUGGGCGAAAGCCUGACGCAGCCAUGCCGCGUGAAUGUCGAAGGUCUUAGGAUUGUAAAAUUCUUUCACCGGGGACGAGAAUGACGGUACCCGGAGAACAAGCCCCGGCUACCUUCGGUCCAGCAGCCGCGGUAAUACGAAGGGGGCUAGCGUUGCUCGGAAUUACUGGGCGUAAAGGGCGCGUAGGCGGAUCGUUAAGUCAGAGGUGAAAUCCCAGGGCUCAACCCUGGAACUGCCUUUGAUACUGGCGAUCUUGAGUAUGAGAGAGGUAUGUGGAACUCCGAGUGUAGAGGUGAAAUUCGUAGAUAUUCGGAAGAACACCAGUGGCGAAGGCGACAUACUGGCUCAUUACUGACGCUGAGGCGCGAAAGCGUGGGGAGCAAACAG
RNAcentral lists this ribosomal RNA (398 nucleotides) under uncultured bacterium. Its description in RNAcentral is "partial 16S ribosomal RNA". It matches the Rfam family "Bacterial small subunit ribosomal RNA", at positions 360 to 775 of the family's 1533-position model. The record is from RNAcentral.